CUACAAUCGGUUCUUGGGGGUAAAGCUGAAAUUGAAAUUUUCUUAAACACAUUUCAGAAGAAAAUAAAACAUCAAAUUAUUUAAAAUUACAUUAAAAACUGAGAAGAGAUAGGCACACAGGAAAGAGAAACAUAAAGACGUCAAGAAACAGAGGAGAGAGAAAAAAGUUGUUGACUUUUUUGACACAUCAUCAAACUUUUAAC
RNAcentral lists this long non-coding RNA (203 nucleotides) under Vigna radiata. RNAcentral's name for it is "long non-coding RNA (VRAD_LNC010001)". The record is from RNAcentral. Lineage: Eukaryota; Viridiplantae; Streptophyta; Magnoliopsida; Fabales; Fabaceae.